AGAGUUUGAUCCUGGCUCAGGACGAACGCUGGCGGCGUGCUUAACACAUGCAAGUCGAACGAUGAUGCCCAGCUUGCUGGGUGGAUUAGUGGCGAACGGGUGAGUAACACGUGAGUAACCUGCCCCUGACUCUGGGAUAAGCGUUGGAAACGACGUCUAAUACUGGAUAUGAUCACUGGCCGCAUGGUCUGGUGGUGGAAAGAUUUUUUGGUUGGGGAUGGACUCGCGGCCUAUCAGCUUGUUGGUGAGGUAAUGGCUCACCAAGGCGACGACGGGUAGCCGGCCUGAGAGGGUGACCGGCCACACUGGGACUGAGACACGGCCCAGACUCCUACGGGAGGCAGCAGUGGGGAAUAUUGCACAAUGGGCGAAAGCCUGAUGCAGCAACGCCGCGUGAGGGAUGACGGCCUUCGGGUUGUAAACCUCUUUUAGUAGGGAAGAAGCGAAAGUGACGGUACCUGCAGAAAAAGCACCGGCUAACUACGUGCCAGCAGCCGCGGUAAUACGUAGGGUGCAAGCGUUGUCCGGAAUUAUUGGGCGUAAAGAGCUCGUAGGCGGUUUGUCGCGUCUGCUGUGAAAUCCCGAGGCUCAACCUCGGGCUUGCAGUGGGUACGGGCAGACUAGAGUGCGGUAGGGGAGAUUGGAAUUCCUGGUGUAGCGGUGGAAUGCGCAGAUAUCACGAGGAACACCGAUGGCGAAGGCAGAUCUCUGGGCCGUAACUGACGCUGAGGAGCGAAAGCAUGGGGAGCGAACAGGAUUAGAUACCCUGGUAGUCCAUGCCGUAAACGUUGGGCGCUAGAUGUAGGGACCUUUCCACGGUUUCUGUGUCGUAGCUAACGCAUUAAGCGCCCCGCCUGGGGAGUACGGCCGCAAGGCUAAAACUCAAAGGAAUUGACGGGGGCCCGCACAAGCGGCGGAGCAUGCGGAUUAAUUCGAUGCAACGCGAAGAACCUUACCAAGGCUUGACAUACACCGGAAACGGCCAGAGAUGGUCACCCCCUUGUGGUCGGUGUACAGGUGGUGCAUGGUUGUCGUCAGCUCGUGUCGUGAGAUGUUGGGUUAAGUCCCGCAACGAGCGCAACCCUCGUUCUAUGUUGCCAGCGGGUUAUGCCGGGGACUCAUAGGAGACUGCCGGGGUCAACUCGGAGGAAGGUGGGGAUGACGUCAAAUCAUCAUGCCCCUUAUGUCUUGGGCUUCACGCAUGCUACAAUGGCCGGUACAAAGGGCUGCGAUACCGUAAGGUGGAGCGAAUCCCAAAAAGCCGGUCUCAGUUCGGAUUGAGGUCUGCAACUCGACCUCAUGAAGUCGGAGUCGCUAGUAAUCGCAGAUCAGCAACGCUGCGGUGAAUACGUUCCCGGGCCUUGUACACACCGCCCGUCAAGUCAUGAAAGUCGGUAACACCCGAAGCCGGUGGCCUAACCCUUGUGGAAGGAGCCGUCGAAGGUGGGAUCGGUGAUUAGGACUAAGUCGUAACAAGGUAGCCGUA
RNAcentral lists this ribosomal RNA (1486 nucleotides) under Curtobacterium sp. D34. RNAcentral's name for it is "bacterial SSU rRNA". It matches the Rfam family "Bacterial small subunit ribosomal RNA". The record is from RNAcentral. Lineage: Bacteria; Bacillati; Actinomycetota; Actinomycetes; Micrococcales; Microbacteriaceae.